GACGAACGCUGGCGGCGUGCUUAACACAUGCAAGUCGAACGGAAAGGCCCUGCUUUUGUGGGGUGUCAGCGUGGCGAACGGGUGUGUAACAUGGGAGUCACCUGCGUUUGACUUUGGAAUAACUUCAGGCAACUGGGGCUAAUACCUGCUUGGUGCUCCUGCUGCUUGGUGGGGGUUGGAACGUUUCGGCGGAUGGGGAUGGACUGGCGGGUAAUCAGCUUGUUGGUGGGGUACCGGCUUACCCAGGCUUUGACGGGUAGCCGGCCUGAGAGGGUGACCGCCGACAUUGGGACUAAGGUACGGACCAGACUCCAACAGGAGGCAGCGGUGGGGAGUAUGGCACAAUGGGCGGAAGCCUGAUGCAGCGGCGCCGCGUGCGGGAUGACGGCCUUCGUGGUGUAAACCGCUUUCACCUGUUACGAAGCGUGAGUGACGGUAAUAGGAGAAGAAGCACCGGCUAACUACGUG
Molecule: ribosomal RNA, 468 nt
Filed under: uncultured bacterium
Lineage: Bacteria
Description: partial 16S ribosomal RNA
Rfam family: Bacterial small subunit ribosomal RNA
Source: RNAcentral